UUAAAAUGUUAUGAAGAAUUUGUU
Molecule: small nuclear RNA, 24 nt
Filed under: Arabidopsis thaliana (thale cress)
Lineage: Eukaryota; Viridiplantae; Streptophyta; Magnoliopsida; Brassicales; Brassicaceae
Description: snRNA_11761
Source: RNAcentral